GAUACAGCUGGUGGAGCAAAGUUCUGAACACAGAGUAUAUUCCCUCAAACAGCCUAUUAGCAGUUGAAGAAAAUGUCUCACUGUGCCAUUUCUGUGCCUUUAAACCUCACCUUUGUAACAUAAUCUGGUUGGGAUUCCUGCUGAUCAUUGGGUCAUAUCAGAACUUGAUUCUAUUAUUGUUCCAGGGGAAAAUGUCCUUGGCCUUUUCCCUUCAGAACAUGUAAUGAUUCAUUGUCCUCUCCCUAUAAAGCCUUCACCUUUUCUGGGUCAUAAAUUUUCUAACCUGACAGCGGUAGUAUUGAAAAGAACAAAUCUCUGUGCAUGUUAUCUCGAACUCACCGGGGGCCAGGCAAAAGCAGGCAUGCAGCUGAAUGGCAAAGGAAAUGAUACCACACUAAGAUGAGAUUGUUAUUUAGCCACUCAAGUAGAACAUAGGCAGUGAAAAUAUUUAUUUUAAAGUCUUAAAACACCAGUUGCUUGAGCUCAUGUGAAAGGGUGCCUGGUUUUACUCAGUGUAGAUCCAUUGAAAUGAAUGAACAUAACUAAGGAAGAAAUGGGUUUUCUGUCGCUUCAUGUGGCCGGCUGCCUUCCUGGGACAAAGUGCUCUGUGACAGUGACACGGUCACAUCACAGAAUCUUUUUGGGAGGUGGCCAUCUUCUUUCCCUGAAAAUGAGGCUGUGUUACAUAGACCCUGAAGGACAUUCUCUUCCAGGAAUGCAGCUGGAUUGCUGAGGGCGGCCGAGCUGCCACUUGAAGCCAUUGUAAGAGUUUUAUGGUGAAUGUAAAGGUGUUUCUAUUAUCUUGCUGCUUAUGGGACUGUGGCAACAACUCCCUUGAGCUUCAGCAGGCUUCACGAGCACGUUUAUGUCAUCGCGGAAGCAAGGUACACUGUUUCUCUUCUAUUUACUUUCUGACGCAAUUGAAAAACCAUUUCCUUAAAAGUCUUUCUGUCCUAUUAUAUUUUUCCACACUGUACGUGAAUAGGCAACUGUUCACAUGGGUAGGCGAUCAGAUUGGGUAAUGGGAAGUUGUGAAUUUAUAUUCUGCCAGUCAGCUAAAAUUUGUAUUGCUCAAUGAAAGAGUUGUUUCAUAUUGACACUCCUGUGUCUCCCAAGAAUCAGUGAAAUGAAUAUUAUCCUGAUGGGCAAACUACUAACUUGGUACAGUAUAGGGUUUUUUGUUUUUUUUUUAGCAUUUGUGAAUUUAGGUAACAAGGUGCAUGUUCAUUCACACUGACGUCAGGGGGAUUUACUGUAAGCAACCUGUGCACAAAAUUUAUUUAAUGUUUUCGCCUGCCUGUCCAUGACUCAAGAUGGCUUUAUGGCACAUUCAAAUGUACAAAAAUAAAACCAAUUUAGCAAAACCAAUAAAGAGACAUACUGGAAAACACAGUUACUAAUUUCAACAACAGCUGCAGA
Zootoca vivipara (common lizard) is the source of this 1419-nucleotide non-coding RNA. NCBI's taxonomy places the organism in Eukaryota, Metazoa, Chordata, Lepidosauria, Squamata, Lacertidae. The record is from RefSeq and is a predicted model, not a curated record.